AUUUCCGUAGGUGAACCUGCGGAAGGAUCAUUAGUGAAUAUAGGAUGUCCAACUUAACUUGGAGUCCGAACUCUCACUUUCUAACCCUGUGCAUUUGUUUGGGAUAGUAGCCUCUCGGGGUGAACUCCUAUUCACUUAUAAACACAAAGUCUAUGAAUGUAUUUAAUUUAUAACAAAAUAAAACUUUCAACAACGGAUCUCUUGGCUCUCGCAUCGAUGAAGAACGCAGCGAAAUGCGAUAAGUAAUGUGAAUUGCAGAAUUCAGUGAAUCAUCGAAUCUUUGAACGCACCUUGCGCUCCAUGGUAUUCCGUGGAGCAUGCCUGUUUGAGUGUCAUGAAUACUUCAACCCUCCUCUUUUCUAGUGAAAGAGAAGGUGCUUGGUUUCUGAGCGUUUUGCUGGCCUCACGGUCGAGCUCGCUCGUAAUGCAUUAGCAUCCGCAAUCGAACUUCGGAUUGACUUGGCGUAAUAGACUAUUCGCUGAGGAAUUCUAAUCUUCGGAUUAGAGCCGGGUUAGGUUAAAGGAAGCUUCUAAUCCUAAUGUCUAUAUUUUAAGAAUAGAUCUCAAGUCAGGUAGGACUACCCGCUGAACUUAAGCAUAUCAAUAAGCGGAGGAAAU
This 618-nucleotide ribosomal RNA is filed under the name Rhodotorula sphaerocarpa. RNAcentral describes it as "eukaryotic LSU rRNA". The stretch from base 182 to 335 matches the Rfam family "5.8S ribosomal RNA". The record is from RNAcentral. Lineage: Eukaryota; Fungi; Basidiomycota; Microbotryomycetes; Sporidiobolales; Sporidiobolaceae.